UGUCCUGGCAAUGGGCCAAGAGACACCUUCUUGGUAGUGGUGUUCUUAUAUCAGUCAGGGGCAGAGCAGAUGGCAGUCCUUUGUUCAUCCUAGCUUGAUGCUUGGCUUAGUGGCCAAAACUCUCUUAUGACUAGGACACAUAA
Small nucleolar RNA from Grammomys surdaster, 143 nucleotides. RefSeq annotates it as small nucleolar RNA SNORA48. NCBI's taxonomy places the organism in Eukaryota, Metazoa, Chordata, Mammalia, Rodentia, Muridae. The transcript has a single exon. The record is from RefSeq and is a predicted model, not a curated record.